CUACACUUUCGAUCUGAACUUGAAGACUAUGAUGUCAAUAGACCUGACCGCUUAUUGAAAUCUGCUAUACCAAAGAUUUGUGGGUGUUGCGAAACAUUGGAAUGUCUUAAUAUUCCUUCAAGCUCACAAGAAACUCCUUGCGCUAAAGCGUCAGCAAUGCCGAUACUUGAAAAAUAUCUCGAUGAAAAUGAACCA
Long non-coding RNA from Aricia agestis (brown argus), 195 nucleotides. RefSeq lists it as uncharacterized. The transcript is spliced from 3 exons. Lineage: Eukaryota; Metazoa; Arthropoda; Insecta; Lepidoptera; Lycaenidae. The record is from RefSeq and is a predicted model, not a curated record.